Molecule: ribosomal RNA, 301 nt
Filed under: uncultured bacterium
Lineage: Bacteria
Description: partial 16S ribosomal RNA
Rfam family: Bacterial small subunit ribosomal RNA
Source: RNAcentral
CAGCCGCCGCGGUAAUACAGAGGGUGCGAGCGUUAAUCGGAUUUACUGGGCGUAAAGCGCGCGUAGGUGGUUUGUUAAGUUGGAUGUGAAAGCCCCGGGCUCAACCUGGGAACUGCAUCCAAAACUGGCAAGCUAGAGUACGGUAGAGGGUGGUGGAAUUUCCUGUGUAGCGGUGAAAUGCGUAGAUAUAGGAAGGAACACCAGUGGCGAAGGCGACCACCUGGACUGAUACUGACACUGAGGUGCGAAAGCGUGGGGAGCAAACAGGAUUAGAUACCCAGUAGUCCCUGUCUCUUAUACA